UACGUAGGGGGCAAGCGUUAUCCGGAUUUACUGGGUGUAAAGGGAGCGUAGACGGCAUGGCAAGUCAGAUGUAAAAGCCCGGGGCUCAACCCCGGGACUGCAUUUGAAACUGUCAGGCUGGAGUGCAGGAGAGGUAAGCGGAAUUCCUAGUGUAGCGGUGAAAUGCGUAGAUAUUAGGAGGAACACCAGUGGCGAAGGCGGCUUACUGGACUGUAACUGACGUUGAGGCUCGAAAGCGUGGGGAGCAAACAGG
RNAcentral lists this ribosomal RNA (253 nucleotides) under uncultured bacterium. RNAcentral describes it as "partial 16S ribosomal RNA". It matches the Rfam family "Bacterial small subunit ribosomal RNA", at positions 524 to 776 of the family's 1533-position model. The record is from RNAcentral.